This 406-nucleotide ribosomal RNA is filed under the name uncultured bacterium. RNAcentral describes it as "partial 16S ribosomal RNA". It matches the Rfam family "Bacterial small subunit ribosomal RNA", at positions 30 to 526 of the family's 1533-position model. The record is from RNAcentral.
AUUGAACGCUGGCGGCAGGCCUAACACAUGCAAGUCGAACGAGUGGCGGACGGGUGAGUAAUGUCUGGGAAACUGCCCGAUGGAGGGGGAUAACUACUGGAAACGGUAGCUAAUACCGCAUACCAUCGGAUGUGCCCAUAUGGGAUUAGCUAGUAGGUGAGGUAAUGGCUCACCUAGGCGACGAUCCCUAGCUGGUCUGAGAGGAUGACCAGCCACACUGGAACUGAGACACGGCCCAGACUCCUACGGGAGGCAGCAGUGGGGAAUAUUGCACAAUGGGCGCAAGCCUGAUGCAGCCAUGCCGCGUGUGUGAAGAAGGUCUUCGGGUUGUAAAGUACUUUCAGUUGGGAGGCGUUACCGACAGAAUAAGCACCGGCUAACUCCGUGCCAGCAGCCGCGGUAAUUC